RNAcentral lists this non-coding RNA (27 nucleotides) under Mus musculus (house mouse). Lineage: Eukaryota; Metazoa; Chordata; Mammalia; Rodentia; Muridae. The record is from RNAcentral.
UGGAAGGACGGCUUGUCCCUGGAUGCC